UAGAGUUUGAUCCUGGCUCAGGAUGAACGCUGGCGGCGUGCCUAACACAUGCAAGUCGAACGGGAAUCUUCGGAUUCUAGUGGCGGACGGGUGAGUAACGCGUAAGAAUCUAACUUCAGGACGGGGACAACAGUUGGAAACGACUGCUAAUACCCGAUGUGCCGCAAGGUGAAACCUAAUUGGCCUGGAGAAGAGCUUGCGUCUGAUUAGCUAGUUGGUGGGGUAAAGGCCUACCAAGGCGACGAUCAGUAGCUGGUCUGAGAGGAUGAGCAGCCACACUGGGACUGAGACACGGCCCAGACUCCUACGGGAGGCAGCAGUGGGGAAUUUUCCGCAGUGGGCGAAAGCCUGACGGAGCAACGCCGCGUGAGGGAGGAAGGUCUUUGGAUUGUAAACCUCUUUUCUCAAGGAAGAAGUUCUGACGGUACUUGAGGAAUCAGCCUCGGCUAACUCCGUGCCAGCAGCCGCGGUAAUACGGGGGAGGCAAGCGUUAUCCGGAAUUAUUGGGCGUAAAGCGUCCGCAGGUGGUCAGCCAAGUCUGCCGUCAAAUCAGGUUGCUUAACGANCUAAAGGCGUGGAACUGGCAGACUA
Molecule: ribosomal RNA, 591 nt
Filed under: uncultured bacterium
Lineage: Bacteria
Description: bacterial SSU rRNA
Rfam family: Bacterial small subunit ribosomal RNA
Source: RNAcentral